AUGGAGAGAAGUUGUCCAUGGCUAUGGUCCCUGGGGAACAGAGUGGAUGGAGAGAAGUCAUCGAUGGCUAUGGUCCCUGGAGAACAGAGUGGAUGGAGAGAAGUUGUCGAUGGUUAUGGUCCCUGGGGAACAGAGUGGAAGGAGAGAAGUCGUCCAUGGCUAAGGUCCCUGGGGAACAGAGUGGAAGGAGAGAAGUCGUCCAUGGCUAUGGUCCCUGGGGAACAGAGUGUGAUGGAGAAAAGUCGUUGUUGGCUAUGGUCCCUGGGGAACAGAGUGGAUGGAGAGAAGUCAUCGAUGGCUAUGGUCCCUGGGGAACAGAGUGGAUGGAGAGAAGUCGUCCAUGGCUAUGGUCCCUGGGGAACAGAGUGGAUUGAGAGAAGUCGUCAAUACCCUAUGGUCCCUGGGGAACAGAGUGGAUGGAGAGAAGUCGUCGUUGGCUAUGGUCCCUGGGGAACAGAGUGGAUGGAGAGAAGUCGUCAAUACCCUAUGGUCCCUGGGGAACAGAGUGGAUGGAGAGAAGUCGUCGUUGGCUAUGGUCCCUGGGGAGCAGAGUGGAUGGAGAGAAGUCGUCAAUACCAUAUGGUCCCUGGGGAACAGAGUGGAUGGAGAGAAGUCGUCCAUGGCUAUGGUCCCUGGGGAACAGAGUGGAUGGAGAGAAGUCGUCCAUGGCUAUGGUCCCUGGGGAACAGAGUGGAUGGAGAGAAGUCGUCGUUGGCUAUGGUCCCUGGGGAACAGAGUGGAUGGAGAGAAGUCGUCGAUGGUUAUGGUCCCUGGGGAACAGAGUGGAUGGAAAGAAGUCGUCGUUGGCUAUGGUCCCUGGGGAACAGAGUGGAUGGAGAGAAGUCGUCGUUGGCUAUGGUCCCUGGGGAACAGAGUGGAUGGAGAGAAGUCGUCGAUGGUUAUGGUCCCUGGGGAACAGAGUGGAUGGAGAGAAGUCGUCGUUGGCUAAGGUCCCUGGGGAACAGAGUGGAUGGAGAGAAGUCGUCGUUGGCUAUGGUCCCUGGGGAGCAGAGUGGAUGGAGAGAAGUCGUCCAUGGCUAUGGUCCCUGGAGAACAGAGUGGAUGGAGAGAAGUCGUCGUUGGCUAUGGUCCCUGGGGAACAGAGUGGAUGGAGAGAAGUCGUCCAUGGCUAUGGUCCCUGGGGAACAGAGUGCGAUGGAGAGAAGUCGUCGUUGGCUAUGGUCCCUGGGGAACAGAGUGGAUGGAGAGAAGUCGUCAAUACCAUAUGGUCCCUGGGGAACAGAGUGGAUGGAGAGAAGUCGUCCAUGGCUAUGGUCCCUGGGGAACAGAGUGGAUGGAGAGAAGUCGUCCAUGGCUAUGGUCCCUGGGGAACAGAGUGCGAUGGAGAGAAGUCGUCCAUGGCUAUGGUCCCUGGGGAACAGAGUGGAUGGAGAGAAGUCGUCCAUGGCUAUGGUCCCUGGGGAACAGAGUGGAUGGAGAGAAGUCGUCGUUGGCUAUGGUCCCUGGGGAACAGAGUGGAUGGAGAGAAGUCGUCCAUGGCUAUGGUCCCUGGGGAACAGAGUGGAUGGAGAGAAGUCGUCGUUGGCUAUGGUCCCUGGGGAACAGAGUGCAAUGGAGAGAAGUCGUCGUUGGCUAUGGUCCCUGGGGAACAGAGUGCGAUGGAGAGAAGUCGUCGUUGGCUAUGGUCCCUGGGGAACAGAGUGGAUGGAGAGAAGUCGUCGCUGGCUAUGGUCCCUGGGGAACAGAGUGGAUGGAGAGAAGUCGUCGAUGGCUAUGGUCCCUGGGGAACAGAGUGGAUGGAGAGAAGUCGUCCAUGGCUAUGGUCCCUGA
This 1791-nucleotide long non-coding RNA is filed under the name Oncorhynchus mykiss (rainbow trout). Its description in RNAcentral is "lncRNA (ENSOMYG00000060801.1)". Lineage: Eukaryota; Metazoa; Chordata; Actinopteri; Salmoniformes; Salmonidae. The record is from RNAcentral.